AUGUACUGCAUCUCUCAUCUCAUGAGGUUGCAGCUCUGCAGACAAAGAGCUUUACUUCAAGCUAAAAGAGAUAUUAGUGACUUGUUUUUCUCUCUCUUCUUUUUGGUCAUGUGCUUCCCAGGCUUUGCACAGAACUCCUGCGUUUUAGGAUGCAAAAAGAAAGCAACUGGAUUUCUGCCAAGGAUUGAUGGCCUCUAUGGCUCCUAUGAAGAUCUGCAGAUUGGGCAAGUUUCAGAUGCCUUUGUGGAUUUCACAGGUGGUGUUAAUACAAGCAUCAAGCUUGCAGCAGCUCCUCCUGAUCUGUGGGAUACGCUGAGAAGUGCAGCCUGGAGCAGAUCUCUCAUGGGCUGUCAGAUGCAUUUAGGGCACCAGGAAGUCAAUAGAAAGCUGUCCCCAGCAUUAUUCACCUGGCACCACCUUGUGAAUAAGCACCAAGUCUUGAUGGUUGGGAAGUGA
This 456-nucleotide long non-coding RNA is filed under the name Anser cygnoides (Swan goose). Its description in RNAcentral is "lncRNA (ENSACDG00005014233.1)". The record is from RNAcentral. Lineage: Eukaryota; Metazoa; Chordata; Aves; Anseriformes; Anatidae.